Molecule: ribosomal RNA, 562 nt
Filed under: uncultured fungus
Lineage: Eukaryota; Fungi
Description: eukaryotic LSU rRNA
Rfam family: 5.8S ribosomal RNA (bases 208-361)
Source: RNAcentral
GUCGUACAGGUCUCCGUAGGUGAACCUGCGGAGGGAUCAUUACACAAAUAUGAAGGCGGGCUGGAACCUCUCGGGGUUACAGCCUUGCUGAAUUAUUCACCCUUGUCUUUUGCGUACUUCUUGUUUCCUUGGUGGGUUCGCCCACCAUUAGGACAAACAUAAACCUUUUGUAAUUGCAAUCAGCGUCAGUAACAAAUUAAUAAUUACAACUUUCAACAACGGAUCUCUUGGUUCUGGCAUCGAUGAAGAACGCAGCGAAAUGCGAUAAGUAGUGUGAAUUGCAGAAUUCAGUGAAUCAUCGAAUCUUUGAACGCACAUUGCGCCCUUUGGUAUUCCAAAGGGCAUGCCUGUUCGAGCGUCAUUUGUACCCUCAAGCUUUGCUUGGUGUUGGGCGUCUUGUCUCUAGCUUUGCUGGAGACUCGCCUUAAAGUAAUUGGCAGCCGGCCUACUGGUUUCGGAGCGCAGCACAAGUCGCACUCUCUAUCAGCAAAGGUCUAGCAUCCAUUAAGCCUUUUUUUCAACUUUUGACCUCGGAUCAGGUAGGGAUACCCGCUGAACUUAA